Long non-coding RNA from Ictalurus punctatus (channel catfish), 3695 nucleotides. Lineage: Eukaryota; Metazoa; Chordata; Actinopteri; Siluriformes; Ictaluridae. The record is from Ensembl.
UCUACUAUGAUUUAUUUAAGAUUUGUCAAAUGAGCAUAAACUGCAACUAAAUCGCUGUUGAGGUAUGAUCAAUUGUGUGACACAUAUCCACCCACACACACACAGAGACAGACAGACAGACAGACUGGUGAGGGAAUGACUGUUUAUCGCAGUUGUCUCUCGGAUGUUCUACAACCUUAAAUAUAACUAUAUACCAUUAAAAUGCAUGACAUAUUGUGCAUUAAGAAAUUACACAUUGUAAUCUUUGCCUAACUGCAAGAUCUGUCGUGUGUUAUUACUUAUAUAACAGCAGCUCAGUCGGCAGCUGGCAAUCUGCAAGACAAAUCAUAUUGUAUUAAUGUGCUCAUUUGAUGUCAUGUUUACUACACUAAUAGCAAAUUCACAGGGACAUCUACAGUUAAAAGGACAAUUUGCUGUUAUUUAACAAAAAAAAAAAGAACAUACAAGGGUGAGUCAAAUGAAAACUUUAAAAGUGAACGGAAACAUUACAUUAUAUUUGUCACUGCAAAAGUAAAAUGUACUACAGGUCCAUUGUUCUCAAUAGCCCUUCUACUGCUACCCUAAAACUGAUACACAUUUGUAACACCUAUUAGCAAAGAAACUAAAAAUAAAUCAAACAAAUUAAGGUUGUUGAUGCUGUGUGUAUUUAUUUAUUUAUUUAUUUAUUUAUUAGCAUUUAUGUAAGGCAUCUCCGGUGUCUUUGUGUUCAUUCAGCCAUAAUAGCAUUAGUGAGGUCAGGCACUGAUGUUGGGUGUGGAGGUGAUGUCUGGUGAGCAGUCUGCAUUCCAAUUCAUCCCAAAGGUGUUCAGUAGGGUUGAGGUCAGGGCAAACUUGGCAAACCCAGUCUUCACAGAGCUUGCUUUGUGCACAUUGUCAUGCUGGAACAGGUUUGGGCCUCUUAGUUCCAGGGAAGGGAAAUUGUAAUGCUACAGCAUUCAAAAACUUUUUAUACGAUUGUGUGCUUCCAACUUUGUGGCAACAGUCUGGGGAAGAACCAUAUUUAUGUGUGAUGGUCAGGUGUCCGCAUACUUUUGGCUGUUUAUUGUAGUUUAGGUGGAAACUAUUGAGAUUAUACAGCUGUAUGUGUUGCUAAGUGUUUUAUCUUGAUCAGGGUCGGAGUAAAUCCAGAGCCUAUCCAGGGAACUCUGGGGAUAAAAGGGAAAUACCUGUAAGGAAUAAAAUGAUAAGGAUGUGUGAUGUGGCCAAACGUGAAGCAGAGUUACUUUUACCAUCCAAGAGUUAACAGCAUAUCCUGAAGUGUUUUAUUUCUCUUACACACAGCAAUUUGCUAACAGUUGCAAUCUUUUAUUAAUUACAGUACAAGAAGUGAUACUUUUGAUCUAUUUACUCUGUAGUUAUAUUUAAUGUUGUGAUACAUCUGUGAAACAAGCAGCUAUAAAACAUUCCCUUACCAGCAUCUCCUUUUUUCCCCUCUUGAAGUUAAGACAGAUUGUCAAGUUACCAAGAAACCUCCACCGUGAAGACAUUUCCUAUUUCUGAAAAUUUACUGACUGACACAAAGUGCUGACACUGGAGACUCCCAUCCAGAAACUUUUUUUUUUUUCUGAAAGCAUCACCAUAUAAAUGAUUAGAUGUGUUUCUUUGUUAAACACAUAAUUUAUUAUCUUUUAUUAUUAGUUAGAUUAUUUGGUGUGUCUGCCGUACAAGUCCCUGUGAAUUAGUUGCUACUAUAGAAAUGAUAAUGUAUUAGAAUGAGCAGAUUCAUUUAAACCUGAUAUGAAUUACAGCCAGGACUACUAUGCUUUCUGACCAAUCAUAGUCGAGAAUUCAACAGCACUGUGAAAUAAUACCUAUAAAAUUAAAGUGCAGACCAUUUACCAUUUACCAUGUACCACAAAUGACUUAUAUUGACAAGAUAUGUAAAUAUUACAGAGUAUGUACCUUGUGAAUCCUGAUAUUGUGACAAAGACAACUGUGUGGAUCAGAUUGGUGGCGAUGAUAAAUUGACAAAUGACGUCACUCUUUAAGCUUUAAAUUAAUUACAUAAGGACUCAUAUCACCAAGAGUUAGGGAAAAGGUCAAUGAGCUGAUAACUGGUUCGUGGUUAAAAAAAGAAGAUUUAUAUAUAUAUAUAUAUAUAUAUAUAUAUAUAUAUAUAUAUAUAUAUAUAUAUAUAUAGUACUUUCUAUAUAUAGGAGGUAUUUGUCCUUUUCUUUUUCAACUUCAAAAAAGUUCAAGGUCCAAAAUAAUUAUUGCUGUUUAUUAUUAUGGCUGUAUCUUUGGAUUCAAGAGAAAAUAAGUGAAUAGAACCAGUUUUUGUGUCCAUCUUAAGUUAAGGUAAAAUGAAAACUCUAGUAUAUCUGGCUUGUAAGACUGAUUGAAAAAUUGUGAGCAGCAGUAACAAUUUGACUCCAUUACUUCACUUGAUUGUAAAAACAAAAAACAAAAUGUUGACAACAACAACAACAACAACAACAAACCGUCAAAGCUGUUCUUUUCCCAUAUUCACCUAUUUCUGGUUCCUUACAGUUAGAAGAAGUCUCAUAAAAAAUAUUUAAAAAGGUCUUUCAGUUAAUUAGAUUUGAUUUUUUAAAUUAAUUAAUGAAAAGUAAUUCAUAAUUACUAUAUAUUUAAUCACAGGGAUCAUUAAAUGCCAUGCAAAUGCACAUAAAUGCACAAUAAAUAUUAUUAACCAUUUUAUGUGAUUUUAAUUUCUUUGUAAGUAUAUAAAGGACACCAUGCACACAAACCCGUAGCUGAAUGAAUUAUUUCAGGAUUAUUUUUAAUGUGUAAGUUUAAGUUAAUUUCGAGAAAGUAAUCACUUCAAUUGGCACAGCAACAUCUCCUCUUCCUGUUUAUACAUGUUAAGCUACUUUAUGUUUGGCACUCACUGAGUUAAUUUUAUAGAAAUAAAUGACAUUUAAUAAUGGUAACAGCAGACAAAGUAGAUCAGGGAAACCUUUAGCUCAGCAAUUAAAGCAAUGUAUGAGAUUAGCUACAGUGUAACUGAUAAACAUUUGAUAAGAUACUCAACCUCAGCGAUGGCUUCUGUGGCUUACCGAGAUAAUGCCAGACCAAAGGUUUAACACUUUAUCACACUGUCUCUCUCACACACCCACCCACACACACACACACACACACACACAGAGGCUACAUUUUUCUGGUCUACUGAAGCUUUGAUUAAGAUUACAUUUUGUUCUGUCUUUUUUUGUGUGUGUGUCCAAAAUAACUACUUAAAGAAUAUUUCUUCUUAGCCAACCCAAUAUCAGUGUUUUCUGUAUGUCAUGGUAUCCGAUUUUUUCUAUCUUUAAAGAAGGCAUUCAUUGUAAACUCUCACAGAACACCCUUAUAACUGAUCUCCGAAAUGGCCUUUCAGAACUUUUAACACAUCUUUGAUGAUCACACUUACACCCAGGCCUUCACAUGUGAAUCCCUCAUUACAUGAUAAAACAAAAAGGGCUGAUGGUGGAGUUAAUAGCUCUGGUCACUCGUUCACUCAGCAUGUCGCUGGAGACAGCUGGCUCGAUGGCCCCAUCAAUAAAAGAUCAAUCGGCUGAAUUGGUCUUGUAGCACGUAGGCUUGACAAAAGAAACAAGCACCCUGAGCCUGAGAUGCUAAAUAGCUCCUGCAGACCAAAAACAGGAUUGUCAUUGUAUUUCACAUACAUAAAUUCAGUCCAUUUGUACACAUGAAAAUUUGCAUCUUGAAAACUUGUUUGGUAAGCAAUGUACAAG